This is a non-coding RNA of Phrynosoma platyrhinos (Desert horned lizard), 74 nucleotides long. NCBI's taxonomy places the organism in Eukaryota, Metazoa, Chordata, Lepidosauria, Squamata, Phrynosomatidae. The record is from the annotation of a GenBank genome assembly.
GUAGUUGUAGUAUAGUGGUUUGAGCGUUGGACUAUAACUCUGGAGAUCAGGGUUUGAUUCCCAGCUCAACCAUG